This 468-nucleotide ribosomal RNA is filed under the name uncultured bacterium. RNAcentral's name for it is "bacterial SSU rRNA". It matches the Rfam family "Bacterial small subunit ribosomal RNA", at positions 27 to 494 of the family's 1533-position model. The record is from RNAcentral.
GAUUGAACGCUGGCGGCAUGCUUUACACAUGCAAGUCGAACGGGGUGGGGGGCAACCUUCAUUCAGUGGCGAACGGGUGAGUAAUGCAUCGGAACGUAUCCCGUAGUGGGGGACAACGCCGCGAAAGCGGCGCUAAUACCGCAUAUGCUCUACGGAGGAAAGUGGGGGACCGCAAGGCCUCACGCUAUGGGAGCGGCCGAUGUCCGAUUAGCUAGUUGGUGGGGUAAUGGCCCACCAAGGCGACGAUCGGUAGCUGGUCUGAGAGGAUGAUCAGCCACACUGGGACUGAGACACGGCCCAGACUCCUACGGGAGGCAGCAGUGGGGAAUUUUGGACAAUGGGGGCAACCCUGAUCCAGCCAUGCCGCGUGCGGGAAGAAGGCCUUCGGGUUGUAAACCGCUUUUAGUCGGGAAGAAAAGGCACGUCCUAAUACGGCGUGUUCUUGACGGUACCGGCGGAAUAAGCACC